GAUGAAGAACGCAGCAAAAUGCGAUAAGUAAUGUGAAUUGCAGAAUUCAGUGAAUCAUCGAAUCUUUGAACGCACAUUGCGCCCGCCAGUAUUCUGGCGGGCAUGCCUGUUCGAGCGUCAUUUCAACCCUCAAGCACAGCUUGGUGUUGGGACUCGCGCUAAUUCGCGUUCCUCAAAUUGAUUGGCGGUCACGUCGAGCUUCCAUAGCGUAGUAGUAAAACCCUCGUUACUGGUAAUCGUCGCGGCCACGCCGUUAAACCCCAACUUCUGAAUGUUGACCUCGGAUCAGGUAGGAAUACCCGCUGAACUUAAGCAUAUCAAUAAGCGGAGGA
Molecule: unclassified non-coding RNA, 332 nt
Filed under: soil metagenome
Description: partial contains 5.8S ribosomal RNA, internal transcribed spacer 2, and large subunit ribosomal RNA
Rfam family: 5.8S ribosomal RNA (bases 1-120)
Source: RNAcentral